This 94-nucleotide microRNA precursor is filed under the name Chlorocebus sabaeus (green monkey). RNAcentral describes it as "miRNA (ENSCSAG00000022902.1)". Lineage: Eukaryota; Metazoa; Chordata; Mammalia; Primates; Cercopithecidae. The record is from RNAcentral.
UGUUAGAUUGGUGCAAAAGUAAUCGCGGUUUUUGCCAUUAAAAUUAAUGGCAAAAUUACUUUUAAAAAUUACUUUUGCACUAACCUAAUAUCAU